GGACACUUCAAGAAACAUUUAUGCAGUUUUUGUUAUUUAUUUGAAAGAAUCAAAAUAAAAAGAUAUCUCUUGUCUAUCUAUGUAUUGCUCAGCUGGUUGAGGUUGCUUUGGGAAUUAGAAUGUAAUAAAUAAUAAUAAUGCAAUACUUUUUAGUGAGAGUAAUUAGUACAGUAAUCUAAUUACACUGUUGAAAAUGUAAGUAGAUAUCAAUUAAUUACUUUUAUUUCAACUGUAACCUACCAGUGCACACACACACACACACACACACACACACACACACACACACACACACACACACACACAUAAUUACAUACAUAUUUCAUUAUAUAUUUCUGCAUAAAUUGCAAGUUUCAUGCUAGAACCAAGUGCAGCACCUGUGGAUUUUUUUUUAUCAUCCACUAUUGUGAAAACUAUAACAACUAAAUUUUCCUUCAUUUAAAAAUUAAGAUAUUGACUGAAACAUGAAAAUGUACAGCAUGACAUGAACGACCCAUUGCAUCUUGUUUUCCAUCUAUCUAUUUUCAAACAGUCCAACAGAUGUUAACGGGCAGCUUUCAGCAUAAAAUUCCACUUCCACUGCAAUGCAUGCACAUACAAUCCCAAUAACACAAGAAUUGCAUGUUUUCUCACUAAGCUCUGAGCUUAACAUAAAAUGCGACCUGCACUUUUAAUACACUGUUGGAUGUCACUAGCACCGUUUGUCGACCGUGCACGUCCAGUUAUUUGGACCGUAGACUCGUGAUUGAUUGGGCGCGAGACUGUGGGGUCUGUGGGCGGCGCGUGAACGCAGCGUCUCUCCUCUCGCGCGCUGUGAUCCUACAGUGAAUGAAGCUCUAGCGUGGGAAAGACGAACAGGAUACGCGAAGCACUGACAUGGAUCCACUGUAACAUCGCUGCAAUAGCUGCUACUGCGUUCUCCACAGAUCAGCGUUCCUCCACCGUUAACUGCAGCACGAUUAAAGCCUGAAGACGAUGCGUCUGAUCGCAGUCAAAUCACAUCUGUUCAUCGCGCAGCUGUGGCUCAUCUGUCACACAGAUCUGGCCGUGUCGUACCUGAGAGGUCAGCGCAGACUCGCCGAGGACGUCGACUGGUCUUACAC
Molecule: long non-coding RNA, 1100 nt
Filed under: Carassius auratus (goldfish)
Lineage: Eukaryota; Metazoa; Chordata; Actinopteri; Cypriniformes; Cyprinidae
Description: lncRNA (ENSCARG00000018338.1)
Source: RNAcentral